UACAUAGGUCCCAAGCGUUGUUCGGAUUCACUGGGCGUAAAGCGUGUGUAGGCGGCUAGGUAAGUCGGAUGUGAAAGCCCCGGGCUCAACUCGGGAAGUGCACUCGAUACUGCUUAGCUCGAGUACCGGAGAGGUUGGUGGAAUUCUCGGUGUAGAGGUGAAAUUCGUAGAUAUCGAGAGGAACACCGGUGGCGAAGGCGGCCAACUGGACGAGUACUGACGCUGAGACACGAAAGCGUGGGGAGCAAACAGG
RNAcentral lists this ribosomal RNA (253 nucleotides) under uncultured bacterium. RNAcentral's name for it is "partial 16S ribosomal RNA". It matches the Rfam family "Bacterial small subunit ribosomal RNA", at positions 524 to 776 of the family's 1533-position model. The record is from RNAcentral.